UACGUAGGGUCCGAGCGUUGUCCGGAGUUACUGGGCGUAAAGCGCGCGCAGGCGGCGGUGCUGGCCCGGCGUGAAAGCCCCCGGCUCAACCGGGGAGGGUCGUCGGGGACCGCACCGCUUGAGGGCGGUAGGGGCUGGUGGAAUGCCUGGUGUAGUGGCGAAAUGCGUAGAGAUCAGGCGGAACACCCGUGGCGAAGGCGGCCAGCUGGGCCGUCCCUGACGCUGAGGCGCGAAGGCGUGGGGAGCGAACGGG
This 253-nucleotide ribosomal RNA is filed under the name uncultured bacterium. RNAcentral's name for it is "partial 16S ribosomal RNA". It matches the Rfam family "Bacterial small subunit ribosomal RNA", at positions 524 to 776 of the family's 1533-position model. The record is from RNAcentral.